AAACAAAUGAUGCCUGGCAAAUGCUUAAUUAUUCCUGAAUUUCAUAUGAGAACAAUGUCAGCAUCUUGCAAAAUAGAGUUUGAUGAAUAGCCUAGCUGCAGUAAACCUUUUAAAAGAAAAAUACUGACUUUGAUGAUCUGAGAUUUUCAGUUUAUGAGGUCAUUAAUCAUCGGAAGUGUUAUGUCUCAUUUCUGCUAGAGAGUUAUUUUCUACCCUUAGGGCCAUAGAAUGUUUAUUAGACUUAAAUAAGAAAAUGGUUUCCGCUCAUGGCUAUUCAAAUUCUAUUAAAAAUAAUUUCUAAACCAGCAACCAUUUCCCCUAUCUCUCUGUUAAACAUAGGAAAGAGUAAGCUUUUUAAAAAUCUACCAGGCUGCCCUGUAUAAGUUUUCACCCCCUAAUGUAGUGAGAUGAUAAUAACACCUAUUGAUUUUUUUUAAAAAAAUCCUUUCCUUUGGUGAGACUGCUACAAGGGUGGGUGUCUCGUGCAGUUUUGAACUCCAAGAGGACUCAUCCGUCUUUCAGGAGGAAUCAGUACAUGACACUGCAUGUGCUUUUUGGAAAUGCUUAACCUUUAUCAUGUUGUGCACCUACUUCAACCACCUUAUAAGGAAAAAGUUCUAAGAUUUCCAGAACCCACGGAAGUUCAUUUGGAAUCACCACAGCUAAUAAGCACAGUGAGCACUUUAUUGGAAGCUUCCCCAAAGCCUGCAGUAGGAGCGAACAGCAGAGGCAUCAAGGAGAAGGAUGCCAAAGAAAAGAAGCCAGUUCAUGCCGGAAACAGAACCUUGGAAGAGCUCAAGAACAGAGGCACCGUCUCUGAGGAUGGAGUCACAGAGUUGUCGAGAGUUAGCACAGUGGAGAAGACAAUGGCACCCCACUCCAGUACUCUUGCCUGGAAAAUCCCAUGGGCAGAUGAGCCUGGUAGGCUGCAGUCCAUGGGGUCGUGAAGAGUCGGACACGACUGAGCAAGUUCAUUUUCACUUUUCGUGCAUUGGAGAAGGAAAUGGCAACCCACUCCAGUGUUGUUGCCUGGAGAAUCCCACGGACAGGAGCCUGGUGGGCUGUUGUCUAUGGGGUUGCACAGAGUUGGCCACGACAGACAUGACUUAGCAGCAGCAGCAGCACAGUGGAAACUGGCCUUCCAGGUCUUCUUGUCUCCUCCUCCUAUUGGCUCCUCCCUGGUCUGCUGAAGACCAAAGACCGAGACUUUCUUUCUAGAGGAGAUGCAUCAGAGUUAAGUCUGUCUCUAGAGGCACCGGGAGCGCCUGAGGGUGGAGGUAAGGAGUCCUACAGAGAACAGAAGUAUUAAAUGAUAGGCUACGUAUUAAAAUCGGUGUCUGACACCCUCCUCCCCUUGCUCAGCUUCCCAAACACUGGCAGCCAGCAUUUCCUCUGUGGAGAAACUCAUCAGCUUAAAAGAAAGACCUAGAUGGAGUGAUAACUGAGCAUCCGCCAAUGAAAUAGAGGACCAUCCCCAGAGGCCCAUCAGUUGACAAGCCCCAGCCAUGCCUACCAUUUCCAACCUCUGUAUUUAGCUCCUUGCUAAACUGAAAAGACAGCCGAGGAUCAGACAGAUGAGGGAUGGUUCUCCAUGCAAAUCUGAGACCAAAGGAAACAGAUAAAAUUAACUUGGAAGAAACAGACAAUGUGGGGAACAAAAGAAUGUAUUAAAAACUCUAGGAUGGAAUAUUCUCUCUAAGGGAAAAAGAUGCUGUGUUCAUGAAAUGAGAAGAGAAUGAAUGCCAUUUGAAAGAAGAAAAGAAACAUUCAGAGACCAAGAAAGCAUUCUAAUAAAUUUUAAAUGAUGGCAAACAGAAAUUAAAGAUAAAGGUUGAUAAAUAAAACUGAGCAAAAGUCUAAGUAAUUAGAUUUAAAAAAAAGGAAGAGAUGAGAAGUAGGAGAGGCAAGAUAAGCAAACCAGAAGAUUGAUCAGGAAGUUUCGAAAGUUAACAAACACGAGUUCCAGAAACUAGAAGGGAAAAAAAUAGAAGAAAAGAGAUUUUGUAAAGACAAAUACAAAAGCAUUUCUAGAACUAAGGGAAUAAACUUUCAUCCUGAAGAGGUCUACUUAAUACCUAGCACAAUAUAUGGGGGAGAAAAAGCAUGUAGAACUGAUUUCUCACUGUGAAAUUUCAGAACAACACACACACACACACACACACACACACACAAAGAUGCUAACGGUUGCCACAAUGGAAACAGAAAUAUCAUAUACAAAGCCUCCAAGAUUAGAAUUCGUAGAACUUCUCCACAGCAAACUGGGGUUGCAAGGCAAAGAAGCAGCCAGAGAGAAUGAUUUCAAAACAAAGCAUCGAUCAGGCCUAAGCCUAGAAUAAGGAUAUUUUCAGACUAUGAGGACUUUAAAAGUUAUACCUUCUGCCUUUUUUCCCCCUGCAAGCUGCUGGAGAAGGUGCUUCAUCAAAAAAAAAUGAAUAAACCUGUGAUGACCUAAAUGGGAAGAAAACCCAAAAAAAGAGGGGAUUUACAUAUACAAACAGCUGAUUCACUUCACUGCACAGCAGAAAUUAACAUAACAUUGUAAAGCAACAACACUCCAGUAAAAAUUAAUGGAAAAGGAAUAAACCAAGAAAAAGAUCUCAGGCAAUUCAAGAAAAGAGGAUUCCCAGGAUGAAAGGAAGUCCCUGGAUGACAGCUGUGCACAAAGCAACUCAUCUAGAUGGGAUCAAGAUGCGAAAAGGCUCCAGGAGAGUCAGCAGGCAGAUCAUCUAUCCUGUUUGACAAGAAGGAAAAGAAAGUGAAGUCUCUCAGUUGUGUCCAACUCUUUGCGACCCCAUGGACUGUGGCCUACCAGGCUCCUCCACCCAUGGGAUUUUCCAGGCAAGAGUACUAGAGAUGGAAAGAAGAGAUGGACGUGAGGGUCUCCAUGCGUGCAUGCUGCACGAUAAGUCGUCGCUUCGUGUCUGACUCUGUGCAACCCCAUGGACUGUAGCCCGCCAGGCUCCUCUGUCCAUGGGAUUCUCCAGGCAAGAAUACUGGAGUGGGUUGCCAUGCCCUCCUCCAGGGGAUCUUCCUGACCUAGGGAUGGAACCCACAUCCCCUUUAUCUCCUGCAUUGGCAGGAGGAUUCUUUACCUCUAGUGCCAGCUGGGAAGCCCAAUGAGGGUCUCCAGAUCCUGCUAAUUUGUCACACGUGUACUAACCUUUCACCUCAAUACCCCUUCCUUUCUCCUAAUGACAACUAUCUGCUUGGUCGUGUGUGACAAAGCUCUCCAUAUCUACUUUAUGGAUGAGGUUUUGAUACUCAGAAUGCUUUGAUCUUACUCCUCCAGGACAAAGAAGGAAGUUGAAUAAUUCCGAUGACUAUUUCUUGUCUUCAUUACAUAUUUUUUACAACUAGAUACGGCUUCUAGGGAAAAGAUAAUGUCUGUCCAGCUGCACAUUUGUUGCCCAUAAUUUGAUAAUCCGUGCGGAAAACAGAAGUUGGCUGAUGCUGACUCCACAGCAGGGACAUGUAGGGUAAAAAGCAGACGAACUUCAAAGGCCUUGGUUAGAACUUGGCUCUAAUGCUUGUCAUGUGACUCUUUCGACCUUUUCUCAAGAGUUUUACAAUCUGUGAAAUGAAGCAGUUGGACUGUAAUCUUGGAAAUCUUUCCAGCUCUAACAUUCAAUGAUCAGAACUUUAAAUCUGGUGCAUGUUUUUCAAAAUUUGGAACCUUAGUUUCCACUCUUUGAGAAUUAACUGGGGAAGUUUCAUAGGCUCAAAAAAAUAACCAGUAGUUAACUGUUCUGCUUGUGCCCUCCUUCUGCACGUAUUUAGCUGCUUCUCUACAUGUACUGGGCAGACUGAUGCUGGGUUACAGGCACAGUUUGAA
Molecule: long non-coding RNA, 3832 nt
Organism: Bos taurus (domestic cattle)
Lineage: Eukaryota; Metazoa; Chordata; Mammalia; Artiodactyla; Bovidae
Source: Ensembl